GGCAUGGCAGUAUGUGGUUUGGCCGCAAAAAGCGCAAUUGUGUAUAAAAUUUUUAAUUUGGCGCCACCGCGUACUGCCAAGUCACAAACCACAAAUCUAUAUUGGAGCGGGUGGUGCGGACGAAAAUAGUUGAAGGAUAGGAAGUACCAAGUUGGCCAUAACAUUUCACUGUCAGUGUACUGGCAACCAUGAAGGGUGGACGAUUGACGUUUUCUUCAGCGGCCAUUUGUACUUGAGAUGCUUGGGCUAGUAGCAUGGAUGUGCUGAAAGGAAAGACUAAAGAACGCAGACAAGCAAAAUUUGAGUUGCACCAUGUACAUUAGCUAUGCUUGACCGAUUGAUAUCGACAUACCAGCUAAACGGGCUAUAAACCUAACAAAAACAUACUGUACAAUAAUAAAAUAACAUGUAAGACAAAAAGCAAUGGAAUAAUCUAAUUGAUAUUCUAUAACAAUACUGCAAAACGUUAGAAGUAUUGACAUAUAUGUAAACGUCACAACGAAAUGAAGUUGGCAUACAUCACACAACGCAGCGGAAUAAUCAUGGCAUACAUCGGAGGUAGCCGCACAUUGAAUAUUCCAUUUAUACAAUGCUGCAAAAUAUAUAAAUAUUCGGGCAAUCUGAAAACAACUAGCUGCACCGUCCCACAAUAUAUUGAUUUCAAAUGUGAGCAUCUGAAAACGAUAAUCGCUCUAUCCCACAUAGACAUGCAUUUUUCCUAACACAAGAACAGUAGCAAAUUAUAUACGGUCACAGUGACACAACAUAAGUUUAGACGAGAACAGCCGUAACAGCCACGUAUACAAAACAGAAC
Molecule: non-coding RNA, 814 nt
Organism: Paramuricea clavata
Lineage: Eukaryota; Metazoa; Cnidaria; Anthozoa; Malacalcyonacea; Plexauridae
Source: the annotation of a GenBank genome assembly